UAAUCUGAGGUGAAGCAAACAGAAAAUUGUGGAGGUUUUGUUGUGCAAGCAACAGCAGGAAAGACAACUCGACUUAGGGAUCUGGGGACUGCUAUGCAGAGUUACCAAGCCUACAGUACAGUAGGAACUUUAACCUGUCCCUGUUCUUUCAUCUGAGUGAGCAGCUUUCCUCCCAAGUGUUUUCUGUCAAGGUGUGCAACAGAAGAACAUGGCGCAAGAAACUAAUCACAGCCAAGCACCUAUGCUUUGCUCCACUGGCUGCGGAUUUUAUGGAAACCCUCGUACAAAUGGCAUGUGCUCAGUAUGCUAUAAAGAACAUCUUCAAAGACAGAACAGUAGCAAUGGUAGAAUAAGCCCACCUGCAGCUUCUGUCAGCAGUCUGUCUGAAUCCUUACCAGUACAGUGCGCAGAUGGCAGUGUCCCAGACGCUCAGUCGGCGCUAGAUUCUACGUCUUCAUCUAUGCAGCCAGGCCCUGUAUCAAAUCAGUCACUUUUAUCAGAAUCUGUAGCACCUUCCCAAGUGGACAGUACAUCAGUGGACAAAGCAGUAUCCGAGACAGAAGACCUGCAAGCUUCAGUAUCAGAUACGACACAGCAGCCAUCUGAAGAGCAAAGCAAGUCUCUUGAAAAACCAAAACAAAAA
RNAcentral lists this long non-coding RNA (643 nucleotides) under Rattus norvegicus (Norway rat). Its description in RNAcentral is "long non-coding RNA NONRATT002861". The record is from RNAcentral. Lineage: Eukaryota; Metazoa; Chordata; Mammalia; Rodentia; Muridae.